GAUGAUACGCGAGGAACCUUACCAGGGNUUANAUGCAGGCUGCAUGGGGUGGAGACACCCCUUUCUUCGGACCGNCUGCAAGGUGCUGCAUGGUUGUCGUCAGCUCGUGCCGUGAGGUGUCAGGUUAAGUCCUAUAACGAGCGCAACCCCUACCGUUAGUUGCCAGCAUGUAAAGAUGGGGACUCUAGCGGGACUGCCGGUGCAAACCGAGAGGAAGGUGGGGACGACGUCANAUCAUCACGGGCCUUACGUCCUGGGCUACACACGUGCUACAAUGGNCGGUNCAGAGGGAAGCCACCCCGCAAGGGGGNGCGGAUCUACAAAACCGGUCACAGUUCGGAUCGGGGUCUUNAAACUCGACCCCGNGAAG
Molecule: ribosomal RNA, 370 nt
Filed under: lignin enrichment culture E-45
Lineage: Bacteria
Description: partial 16S ribosomal RNA
Rfam family: Bacterial small subunit ribosomal RNA
Source: RNAcentral